GUCAGCGUGGCCGAGUGGUUAUGGCGUGUGACUCAAGUUCUCAUAGGGCAACCUGCGUGGGUUCGAAUCCCACCGCUGACA
This 81-nucleotide transfer RNA is filed under the name Pyrenophora seminiperda CCB06. Its description in RNAcentral is "tRNA-Leu (CAA) (tRNA-Leu-CAA-1-1)". It matches the Rfam family "tRNA". From Rfam's summary of the family: Transfer RNA (tRNA) molecules are approximately 80 nucleotides in length. Their secondary structure includes four short double-helical elements and three loops (D, anti-codon, and T loops). The record is from RNAcentral. Lineage: Eukaryota; Fungi; Ascomycota; Dothideomycetes; Pleosporales; Pleosporaceae.